UGCCAGCCGCCGCGGUAAUACGGAGGGAGCUAGCGUUGUUCGGAAUUACUGGGCGUAAAGCGUGCGUAGGCGGAUCGACAAGUUGGGGGUGAAAUCCCGGGGCUUAACCCCGGAACUGCCCUCAAAACUGUCGAUCUAGAGACCGGGAGAGGUAAGCGGAAUUCCUAGUGUAGAAGUGGAAUUUGUAAAUAUUAGAAGGACCUCCAGUAGCGAAGGCGAUUAUCUGGGUCUAUACUGACGUUGAGAUACGAAAGCAUGGGGAGCAAACAGGAUUAGAUA
This 279-nucleotide ribosomal RNA is filed under the name uncultured bacterium. RNAcentral's name for it is "partial 16S ribosomal RNA". It matches the Rfam family "Bacterial small subunit ribosomal RNA", at positions 506 to 784 of the family's 1533-position model. The record is from RNAcentral.